This 472-nucleotide ribosomal RNA is filed under the name Escherichia coli. RNAcentral describes it as "bacterial SSU rRNA". It matches the Rfam family "Bacterial small subunit ribosomal RNA", at positions 919 to 1379 of the family's 1533-position model. Lineage: Bacteria; Pseudomonadati; Pseudomonadota; Gammaproteobacteria; Enterobacterales; Enterobacteriaceae. The record is from RNAcentral.
GCCCGCACAAGCGGGCAUGUGGUUUAAUUCGAUGCAACGCGAAGAACCUUACCUGGUCUUGACAUCCACAGAACUUUCCAGAGAUGGAUUGGUGCCUUCGGGAACUGUGAGACAGGUGCUGCAUGGCUGUCGUCAGCUCGUGUUGUGAAAUGUUGGGUUAAGUCCCGCAACGAGCGCAACCCUUAUCCUUAGUUGCCAGCGGUCCGGCCGGGAACUCAAAGGAGACUGCCAGUGAUAAACUGGAGGAAGGUGGGGAUGACGUCAAGUCAUCAUGGCCCUUACGACCAGGGCUACACACGUGCUACAAUGGCGCAUACAAAGAGAAGCGACCUCGCGAGAGCAAGCGGACCUCAUAAAGUGCGUCGUAGUCCGGAUUCGAGUCUGCAACUCGACUCCAUGAAGUCGGAAUCGCUAGUAAUCGUGGAUCAGAAUGCCACGGUGAAUACGUUCCCGGGCUGCCUUGCCCGGGCCU